This 127-nucleotide small RNA is filed under the name Marmota monax (woodchuck). The record is from RNAcentral. Lineage: Eukaryota; Metazoa; Chordata; Mammalia; Rodentia; Sciuridae.
GCCAGGUGUGGUGGCGCACACCUGUAAUCCCAGCAGCUUGGGAGGCUGAGGCAGGAGAAUCACAAGUUCAAAGCCAGCCUCAGCAAUUUAUCAAGGCCCUAAGAAACUCAGUGAGACCCUGUUUCUA